This 397-nucleotide ribosomal RNA is filed under the name Oxyrrhis marina. RNAcentral's name for it is "partial Bacterial small subunit ribosomal RNA". It matches the Rfam family "Bacterial small subunit ribosomal RNA", at positions 1110 to 1506 of the family's 1533-position model. Lineage: Eukaryota; Dinophyceae; Oxyrrhinales; Oxyrrhinaceae. The record is from RNAcentral.
GAUAGUUGCCAUCAUUUGGUUGGGCACUUUAUCGAGACUGCCGGUGACAAACCGGAGGAAGGUGGGGAUGACGUCAAAUCAUCAUGCCCCUUAUGACCUGGGCUACACACGUGCUACAAUGGGCGGUACAAAGGGUCGCGAACCCGCGAGGGGGAGCCAAUCCCAAAAAGCCGCUCUCAGUUCGGAUUGCAGGCUGCAACUCGCCUGCAUGAAGCCGGAAUCGCUAGUAAUCGCGGAUCAGCAUGCCGCGGUGAAUACGUUCCCGGGCCUUGUACACACCGCCCGUCACACCACGAGAGUUUGCAACACCCGAAGUCGGUGAGGUAAUCCUUACGGGUGCCAGCCGCCGAAGGUGGGGCAAGUGCUUGGGGUGAAGUCGAAAUAAGUUAGCCGUACC